This 710-nucleotide long non-coding RNA is filed under the name Sinocyclocheilus anshuiensis. Its description in RNAcentral is "lncRNA (ENSSANG00000048006.1)". Lineage: Eukaryota; Metazoa; Chordata; Actinopteri; Cypriniformes; Cyprinidae. The record is from RNAcentral.
GCAUUGUUUUCUGUAGAUGUGUACUGAAGGUGUUUGUGUUUGUGUGUGUGUGUGUGUGUGUGUGUGUUUACAGCGCUGUGUUCUCCUCCGUGUGUGAAUGGAGGGAAGUGUGUGGACAUCAACACCUGCAGCUGCUCAGACGGAUGGACAGGAGCGCGCUGUCAGAGAGAACCCGUCAGGUGUGUGUCGGCGUGUAGAAACGGUGGUGUGUGUGUGGGACUCAACAGAUGCCAGUGUGUGGAUGGAUUUACUGGAAGCCUCUGUGAGACAGCCGUCACUACGCCGUGUGUUCCUCCCUGUCAGCAUGGUGGCGUCUGCGGGCCUCUGAACACCUGUGUGUGUGUGACGGGGACGAGCGGCAUACGCUGUGAGAAACUCGUGUGUCCCGUCGUGACUACGGUGGUCAGUAUGGCCCGCGCCGUGCGGAAAGGCUUUCGGGAGAGUUACGUGGACCGCUGCGGACCGCUGGGAGUCCAGCUCUGUACUAAAUACAGGAUAAAUCAGGCGCGUGUGUAUCUGCAGGCGUAUAGAGUGGGCUACAAAAUCCAGUGUCCCGAGAAAACAGCAAGAUGAACAACAUCAAGUCUAUUGUAAUGCUCCCAAACACUGAACAGACACACUCACUCAGUGCAUAUUAUAUGAUUGUGUAUACUGACUUUUGCACAUUGCAUGUGUAUUGUUACAGACUAAUAAAGGUAUUUUUGGUGACU